UACGUAGGUGGCAAGCGUUGUCCGGAUUUACUGGGUGUAAAGGGCGUGUAGGCGGGUAAGCAAGUCAGAUGUGAAAUACCGGGGCUCAACUCCGGAACUGCAUCUGAAACUGCAUAUCUUGAGUACUGGAGAGGAAAGUGGAAUUCCUAGUGUAGCGGUGAAAUGCGUAGAUAUUAGGAGGAACACCAGUGGCGAAGGCGGCUUUCUGGACAGUAACUGACGCUGAGGCGCGAAAGCGUGGGGAGCAAACAGGAUUAGAUACCCCGGUA
This 269-nucleotide ribosomal RNA is filed under the name uncultured prokaryote. RNAcentral's name for it is "partial 16S ribosomal RNA". It matches the Rfam family "Bacterial small subunit ribosomal RNA", at positions 524 to 792 of the family's 1533-position model. The record is from RNAcentral.